CCGGGCCUAUUUUAUUUACAGAAAAUAAAUAAAUUAAAAUAAAAACCAAUUAUAGGUCCAAAGUUUACUUACAGUUUAGCCCAAAUAUUAAAACACAAAUCUAAUCCAAAUCCAUUUGCAAAAUUUUGGACCCCAAAGUUGAGACAGAAAAUAACCCGGAAAAGGUCCAAUCUAAGACUAAUUAAUCAAUGCCGCAGUAGUAUCCCUUCUUCUUGGCUAUUUGAGGUAAACCGAUAGAGCCCAGGCCAGAAGUUUCUGGAAUAUAUGAGAGUAGCAGUAGAAUUGGGUUCCCACGAGCGGUUCCCACGCACGGCUUCCAUGGCCUUCUCCCCAUACAGCUCUGCGUCCGUAGAACCUGCAAAGGAAUAUACAAGAAGAAAAAUGGGCUAACAGAAUACAGCAAAAUGACAGCAAGCAAAUAUAAUUUUAUUUUUCUGUAACACUCCUAACCUGUAUCCGUUGCCGGAAUAAGAUUAUGAGGUAUUACUUGACUGAAAAAACUUAUAUAAGGUCAAAGAUACUUACCAGACAUAAAUUAUCAACAAUGCAAACAUGUAUCAUUGAUUUUCCAUAAGAGCUCUUAUAAAUUUCUAAAAUGACUCACUAUCAAAACAUAACCGAAUAUCUAAUAACAAAUUAACUACUAUCAAGUUAUAACUAAAACAUUUCACCACAUUAGUUCAAUUAUAAGGCUUCUCUAAACAAAAUGAGCAAGCCAUCUUCGCAUGGCUGUAAUGUAUACAAAGUUGAAAUAUCAUUCUACCUAUAGUCUAUCCUAUACAUGCCUUAAACCAUAAUGAUAUACAAUCUUCUCAACUCACAUAAUGACUAGAUAGUGUGAUGAUAUCUCUGGCCCUUCCAACUCGAGCUAAAGUAUAUACCUAUAAGAAAUGGAAAAGAGAACACGAAGUAAGCUUCAAUGCUUAGUAAGUUUUAAGCAAUGCAAACAAUUAAUUUACUUAUAGAUCGAUUAUUCAAAUUUUCAAGAAAUCAUUCCUAGAUAAUUGCCAUUUUGGCCAAGUAUCUAUGAACAUAAUGCAUAUUUAGCAAAUUCACCUCACUUGAAUCUGAACUCAAUUAAAACCAAAUAUUGAAAUUAUAAAUAAGAUCAUAAGAACUCGAAAAGCAUCUCAUUAACAAGUUUUAACCAUGUUUGCAACAAAAUCACAAAUUCACUACAAGCUGUCUUCCUGAACAACAGUCACUAAAUUAUUUAUAACUAGAGCUAAGAAAAACCAAAUCAAGUGCCGUUAAUUUUCCCUGAAAAUAGACUCAUAUAUAUUCCAUCCAUCAAAUUUUCAGAAUUUUUAGUUUGACCAAUCAAUACCAGGUUUUUAUUGAAGUUUCCCUUGUUUCACUGUUUGACUAAUCUGACCACUCUUCACUACGAAUAAAAUUUCUCAUUAUAAAGAAUUCGAAAUAUGUUAUCGUUUAUUUCAUUUGAAACUAGACUCAUUAGGGAGUCUAAGAAUAUAAAUUUUAUCUUAUAACCAUUUUUUUACCAUUUAUAAUGAUUUUCUGAAAAUAGAACAGGGGACCUCGAAGUCAUUUUGACUCUGUUCCACGCCACUUCAAAUAUCUCAUUAUUGGCAACUCUUUUGCUUACACGGUUUCUUUUAUAAAAACUAGACUCAUUAAGAUUUCAUGACAUAAUUUAUUCAGUCUCUAACUCAACUUCCACAAUUUAUAGUGAUUUUCUGAAAUCAUGUUACUGCUACUGUCCCAAGCAGAUUUAUUACCCAUUCUUUGGAUUCAUAUUAUUUAACAUAUAUAUCACCAAAUCAAUCUCAUAUAACCUUUCACCAUAACCGAAUACACACAUACACAUAUGAGAUUGUCACAUAUACUUCUCAUUUCGUAUUCAUGAUUCAAUUCCGAUCAAUCUAACAUAUAAAAGUAUAUAAUACAUACCUGACCGACUUAAUGUAUUGAACAUAUUCAAUGGUAGUUUACUACGAACAUUCGAAAUCAUAAUCUUACUCCAAUCAUCGGCAUUAAGUCUGCUAGAUUUAAAACCAAAAUCAAAUCACCACUACAAAGCAUGCGGGACUUUAAGCCCGGAUAUAAUACCAGCACAAAUGCCUUCGGGACUUAGCCCGGAUAUAACACCAGCACGAAUGCCUUCGAGACUUAGCCCGGAUAUAAUUCUCCAUUAUCAUGCACACAUAUAUAUAUAUCAUAACACAUUAGCAUUUCAUUUACAUUAUUUGAAUACAAGCACAACAUGCUUAUCAACCAUUCCACUUUCGGCUCAAUAGCCACAUACAAAGAACACGAUUUCGUUUCGCUAUCCAACAUGAUUUCUAUAACCAUUCGGCUACAAGUCAUAUGCACAAAUUAUUUAUCCCACUACGUAAUUCAAGUAGAACUAAUAGGUCACAAUUUAUUUAUUAUGCUUAUAUACCAUGAUUUUAUCAAAUCAUAAGCUAAGUUUCAUUACUCAAAGACUUACCUUGACUGUCGUCGAAUGACUACGGAUAUGUUAUUUGGUUAGUUUAGCUUUUUCCCUUAUCCGAAUUAGGCUCCUUAAGCUCUUGAGCUAGAUUAAACAAAUUCACUUGUCACUAAUUCAUUAAUCAUGCCUUUUAUUCAGUUAUAUUAAUAAUUUAAAACACAACAUCACCAAGCUAUUACUCACAAUCACGUUCGGCAAGGACCAAUUAAUAAACCUUAAAUUCAAAAUAACUUCAAUCUUAUGAUUUUACAAUUAUCUUAUACUUUCACAUAUAACUUAUUUAUGGCUGCAUAUAUAUAUUAUCAAAGUAUCUUUCGGUUCCAAAACUCAAUCAUUAAAACACGUGCAUGUACACACAUAAACAUAUACUUAUGAAUUAAAAUAUAAUUUCUUAUGCAUAAGCAUAGCAAUGACCGCAUAAACACUCAUAUAUAUAUACAAUAGAUGCAUUAACAAUUUAUCAUUCAAUGACUAAGCCAAAACAUCUUUAUCAUAUCAUUUACACUUUUGCUUACAAGUAUAUACUCUUAAAUCAAGGUAUAACAAUCACACGUGUAUAUUUUUAUAAGUAUGUAUAAUCAUGUUCAUACAAGUAUACACAUAAUUCACAAUUUAGUUUUGUAUGCAUAUAUCACUUGAAGCAUCAAACCCAAUUCAUUAAUACCUAAUUUAACAAGUUCAAAACUCAUUUCGACAAUGAAGUUCUUGAUUUAGAACAAGGAUAAUCCCUCUAUUCACUAUCCAUAAUCAAAUUCGGCAACCAUAUACACUGAAAUUUAACAUUCGUUCCUUCCCUCAAAAUUCAAAUUCAUAAUUCAUUUCUUGCCAAUUGUCGAACAUCAAUAGCCAUUUAGGACAAAUAUACCUCAUACUAGCAUUAUUUUAACCUACUAUGUACUAUUCAUGCAUUUUAACCCUUAUAGCCAAUUACUAUCUAUCUAACUAGCCACAACUAACCUUAUUCAUCAAGAUAUAAAAUCAAACAUACCUCAAAUUGCCUUCACAAGGGCCGAACACCAUAGAGCCUAAUUGUUUCUUUGUUCUUUAAGCUACGGCAAUUGAAGGAAAGUAAAGCGUGAAAACUUUGUUUUCACCACCCAAUUUCUUAUUAAUUCCCAAUUUCCAACAUUAUUUCACAUUUUAAAGCAUCAAACACAAGAAUUCUUAUCAAAGCAUCCAUGGCCGAAACAUGCUUAACAAUUAUAAACAAGAAUUGGACCAUGAGUUAGCUAGACAACUUAACAAUAACCUCAAUAAUCAAGUUUCCAUCAAAAUUUUCAAGAGAGCUUACCUAAUAGAAGAAAACAAAGUGCCAAAUGCCUUAGGAAUUUUUUUCUCCUCCCCUCCUCACAAGUUCGGCUAGGUGAGAAGAUGAAUCCCCCAUGAAAACAUUGUUUUUAUCACUAUUGUUAUAAUAUUAAUAUUCCUUUAAUAUUAUAAUAUUCAUUUCAUAUUAUAAAACAAUUUAACUUAUAAAAUAAAAAUAAUAAAAUCAUAUUUUAUUCAUGAUUCAUCAUCAUUACGCCCACUACACUUAAAGAUGGGCUAUUUGACAUGCAAGGACUCCUUUUUUGUAACUACAACUAUUCAACCACUUUUUAAUUUUGCCUAGCAAGAUUUCAAUGUUUAACAACUAAGCCCUUUUUGAUUAAUUCACAUCAAAUGACAAAAAUCAAAGCAUUCAAAGAUUCACACAUGCAUUUUCACAUAUAUUAGACAUAGAAUAUAGUAUUUAAUUAUUUUCGUGUCUUGAUUUUGUGGUCCCGAAACCACUUUCUGAGUAGGGUCAAAUUAGGGCUAUUACAUUUUUUUUCUAAAUUCAGGCUAUAAAAAGCCUUGCUUAUACCCAUGUAUUUUUACUUACGCAUGCACACUAUCCGCAUAGAGAAUACAAAAAAAUUUCGAGAAGAAUUUCCAAAGGGUGAUCUUCUUCAGUUUUUUAAAUUGUUCACUUAUUUUUUUAUUUAUUUUUUCCUGCGAUUAUUUUCAUCAUUUUGCAUUUUAGAACAGAAAAAAAGAAAAUCAAGUUUUACCUUGCGAAUCGGCUUUUGACCUCUGUUCACUUCGUUGAGAUCGAAGUUGGAAGGGGGAUUUAUUAUAUAUCAAGCCUCGAAAUGACGCCAAUGAGAUCCCUAAUAUCUCUGAAAUACUAAGAUAAGGGGUGAGGGUCGGAUAGUAUUAGAUAUGUUGUUUUUCAAUUUCAGUUUCAUUUUUCUUGAACAAGUGAUAUUAGAUCUAAGAGAUUUGUUUUUUUUUUAAAAGGAAAAAAUAAAAUGGUUUACCAGAUUUCCUCGAGUGGAGCCUUCGAUGGUAGGAUCUGGUCAUUGCCCAUGCGUUAUUGGCCACCAAAUGAGAUGGUGGUUCUAUGGCUGCGGGUAUGAGCCCUAACAAUGUGAUUUUGGGGCUGUGAAUUUUGGUGAAAUGAGUGGCUGUGUUGGAGAAGAAAAUAGGAGAAGAAAGGUUUUAAAUAACAUAUUAAGCAAAACGGCACCGUGUAAGAAGGGUGGGGGGGCCUUUUGCGCCUAAAAUGGUCUAUUUAUGCAACAUAUCCUUCCCUUUUCGCGAACCUUUCAAUUAGCACCCAAUUCGCUUACCCGUUUUUUUUUAUUUAAUUUAGCCUUCUAAUUUGUGCGUUUUUUCACUUUGAUCCACGGUCUAGUACAGUGGGCGCGGGAUAUUUUCAAUUCCAAUCCCCGCGCAUUUGUGCACGUGGCACAUUGAUCCCAUUUUAUAAUUAUCUUAUUUGUAAAUUGCUUCUCCUGUUUUAAUUUUGUUUCAAUUAAAUCUUAUCUUCUUUAUUUACUGCACAUACAUUUUUUUUUACAUGCUUAAUUAUUAGUUGUGAUAUUUUGUGUUGUUUUUGGUAGUUGAAUUUUGUAAUCUUUUCUCUUUUAUUCCAAUUUUAAUAAUUAAUGUUUUAUUUGUAAUAUAAUUCAUUUUGGUUUGUGUAUGCUAGUAAUUUCAUGUUGUUUUGUAAUUUCUUUUGGAUUCAUCCCCAUACUUUAAUGCUUAUUAAGUAUAUGUUUAGUAUUUAUUUAAUUUACAUCCAUUAUUAAAGCCAUGAUAUUCUUAUACAUAUAAUUUUUAAUAAACUUGUAUAUAAUUGUGUUCUUAAAUUUAUUACGUAUAUAAUCUAUGAUAAAAUUAGGUUAAUCUUAUAAUUCAUAUUUUAACUAAAUGAUAUUUUGAUAUACAAUUAUUUCUAAAAUUUCUUCAUAUAUACAUUACCCAUAUUAAAUUAUUUUUACUAUAGUACAUGUUAUUAUUUUCAUAUAACUUUAUGUAAAUAUUUUUCUAUGUAUAUAUCUUCUUUUAAAGUUAUUUAUGUGUAUAAGAUAUUUCUUUUAAGGACCAUAUUUUAAAUCAUACCAUUUAUUUAUUGUAUACAUUCUCAUAUUUUAUUAUCCUUAUACAUGUAUUAUUCUCAUCAAUCCAAAUUAAGUUGUUGUAUGCAAAAUUAUGUUAUAUUUUGGUUUAAAUUUCCCUUUAUAAGUAUAGUUUUAAAGACAUACAUCACUAAAUUUAUGUAUUUUGUAAAUAUAAUUUGUUUUGUUAUGUACACUAUAUCCUAUCAUGUCUUUUUUUUCUUUUAUAUUUUAUAUGUUAUUUAAGCAACCAUGCAUAUUAUCAGCUUUUUAAAAUUUGUGUUUGAAAUAUUUUACAUAUUAUCCGAUUCAAAUAUUUUAUUCUACAAUAUUUACGUUAAAUAAUUAUAUAUCGCUAACUUUCAUAUCAAUUUGUUAACCUAUUUUAUGUGUUAAUUAAUUCAGCAUUAUUUUGAAAAUAUCUUGUACUAUAUAUUGAUUUCUAAUUCCAUGUUAUACGUAUUCGGUAAAUUAUUUUAUAGUAUGUCAUGUUAAUUAUUGUUGUAUAUCAUUUUUGUAUUGAUUGUUCGUCAUCCAUGAUUAAGAAUUUGGUCAUUUUACUUAGAAUAAUUGUAUGUAAUUGUGGAUUUGUUAAUUAUGACUUGUUGUAUCCUAUUAUUCCAUACUCAUUCCCCAGUUUUCAUACAAAUAUUUUGAUACAAGUCAUUAAGCAUUCCACUUUAAAACGGCUAAACGCGUUUUGAGCAAAUUUCCAAUUUUCUUUGUUAUUCAAAAAUUCUGAAAUGAGGCAAUAUCCAAUAUUGGGGAAUUCAGAAAAUCGUGCUCAAUCGUACUGGGUAUGAUUUUUCUGGUGAACUAAAUAUUUGGAUAACCUUUUAUAAUUUUUAGUGUACGAGUUUUCAAAAGUUGAAAAUCAAUCGCGUUUUAAAGGUAUAAGGGAUCGUAUCCAAUCGUACUGGGUAUGAAACUGCAUAUCUUUGAAACGAGAGAAUUUUGACUACUAAUUUAAAUUAUACAAACAUUUUAAAAAGAGUCAUACUUUGGAAAAUCUUUUCUUUAAAAGAUCAUUUGACAUAAGGAUAGCAUCAAAUCAAUUUGGUACCAAUUUUUUGGGCGUAAUGAGGGUGCUAACCUUUCUUCAUGCGUAACCGACUCCCGAACCCACUUUUUGAUUUUUCAUGAAUAAAACAUUUUAGUAGGUGGCCCAAUCACACCUAAAUCAAGAGAUUGGUGGCGACUUCACAUUUUUGUUUUCAAAAGUCGAUCUCCAUUGUUUUCAAAAUAAAAAAGGGUUUCGACAGCUUGGUGACUCCACUGGGGACUGAACAAAGAGAGUCAGGCAUAAAAUUGAUUGUUUGCUGUCCUUUUGUCAAAGAAUUUAAAAUUUAUUUCAAAAAUCAUGAUUCUUUUAAUUGCAUUUGUUUGCAUGAUUGUUGUGGUUCGAGUCUUGUAAGAAUAAUAUGGCCUUGCAUUGCAUGACCGCUGUGGUUAUACCUGUUAAGUGGGAGUAAUAAACUAUGCUUUCGUGAGGUUUUCACCUCUGUAUGGGCUAGUGGAUUGCUUCCGGGAUACAUUCGUACCUAUGAUUUCGUGAGAUUUUCAUCUCCGCAUGGUCAUAGGGAAAUGUAUUCCCCUGAACCGAACUCGAUCUAUAUGAGCCUAUAAUGGGUGAGGAUUGAGGAAUCUGCUGGUUCGGGUCUUUUACUCUAGAACCGAACUUCAUAUAGUGAACCUUAAGAGCUAUCCUUAGGUAAAGCUGCGAUAAGCCUUAGUCAUAGCCCAUAUGUGUGUUAUGAUUAUCUUUGUUGUUGUACUUGUCUUUUAUCACUUAUAUUUGAUACUAACUUGUGUUUUGUUUGAUUGUAUUUUACAUGAAAUUGCAUACUAAAGGAGGUGUUGGUUCGUAUUCGAUUACUAAGUUAGAAAGUUUAACAUGGAGAAUGAAUUUCUUAGUAAAGUUGAGGAUAAUGCGGCCAUCCGUGCAUGGUCAGAGAAGUUACAAACAGAGAAAGGGGAUAGCCUGACAGAAGGAUAUACAUCAGAGUUGCAGAACUUUACUCGCAUCAAUGUGACACAGAAUGAGCUGCAGGAGUUGAAGGAUAUAUGGACUCGUUGGGAUGAGGGCACUAAACAGUUGUUAUACCAGAGUUAUGGUAUACCAUACUUGCUCGAUGUUAAGGUGGAUAAGCGUUUGUUUCGAGGUAUGGCUCAAUUCUGGAAUUCUGCUUAUAAUUGCUUCACUUUUGGAGAAGUAGAUUUGGUUUCUAAUUUGGAAGAAUACACUACUUUGUUGAGUAGUCCAAAGGCUCAAGUUAGAAAAAUUUAUGCUAAGGUUAUCAAUGGUCAAACGUUUGCAAAGAGGCUGGUGAAUAUUUUGGGGAUAAGUGAAUCUUGGGUCACUGCUCGAAUUCAACAGAAGGGGGACAGUAAGUGUAUUCCAUGAGAAAUUUUGAGAGAUUUGAUUUUGACGCACCCGGAUGAAAAGAAAAGGGUCGAAAUUUUUGCCUUAAGCAUCUAUGGAUUGGUGAUUUUUCCUAGGGCUUUUAAGACAUGUUGAUGAUGUAGUUACUGAUUUGUUUGAUCGUCUCGGGAAGGGAGUCACACCUAUACCUACAAUAUUGGUCGACACGUUUAGAUCUUUGAGCAUGUGCCGGAGGGCAAGGGAAGGUCGAUUUAUUGGCUGUGCACAGUUAUUGAUGGUAUGGUUUCACGGGCAUUUUUGGAAAGUGAAUAAGGUAUCGUACCGGGUUUUCUCUGAAGGUUACUCCCUAUUAAAAGAUGAGAUAGUGAUGCAAAGGAGAGAUGAUAUUUCAAAACAAAAAUGGAUGGAAAUUCUCCAGAAUCUCAAGGAAGAUGAUGUAGAGUGGAGAGCUUUCUGGAUGGUUCCUGAUGAAAUCUUGUAUCGAUGUGGGAGCUAUAAUUGGUGCCAUUGUUGGGAAUUUAGGGAGCUACUGGAUAUACUCAUUUACUUGCACUAAGGCAAUAUAAAUCGAGGCAGUUCAUACCUACGACGCACGGGUUGGCUCAGAGUGAACUUUCGUAUAAAUGAGACCACUAUAGGAAGAAGGUUCUGGAAAUGUCUGAUGCUUGGAGGCAAAUACACUGGAUGAAAAGGCUGACUGUUGGUUCCAUGGUAACACCUGAAUACAAUGGAUGGUUUAGGAAAAGGGUCAAUGAUAAUAUUCCUAGAUCAAAUUUGGAAAGCGCUUGACCAAUGGAGGAGCAAUUACAUAUUGCCCCGUCGGAGUUGGAAAUUAUAAAGCAAGAUUUUGUGAAAAAGAGUUUCAUGUUUGGGAGAAAAAUCGAGCAGUUGGAAGAAGAAAAGAUGCACUUGAAUUUAGAAGUGGAGAUUCAAAAGUCAGAGGCAGAAAAACUACAGAAAAAGAAGGGUGAAGUUGAGGAAGAUUUGGAAGGCUUGAAAACGGAUUAUAAGAAGCUGCGCUUAUCAAUGAGGACUGCUGGGCUAGGAAAGACUUCGGAACAAUGGCGCUAAGAGGUUCGAGAAGAAAGAGCUAAGGCGGAUCAAUGGGAAAAGAGGUUCCAGGAGGCUCAAGCUCGGAAUAAAGUCUUGGAAAGAAGUCUGUCGGAGAGUAAGAAUGAAAAAGAUGAAUUAAGAGCCAGAGUAGCAGAACUUGAGAGAUCUCUCUGUUUAUAUUGGAACCGCAAUUCUGUGACAGAGUUGAAGGUAAGCUUAAGUAAGAUAGAGGCGAUGAAAGGGAAGAUAGAAAAGUUAGAAAUGGCAUUGAAGAAUUGUGAAAUGAGGAUUGAGUUCUUGAAGGCAAAUGAGGAGCAAUGGAAGAAUCAGCUUCAUCACUCUCAGGACCAAGUUAGAAGCAGGGAUUAUAUCAUGGGAGAAGCUGUAAUACAAAUUCGAGAAGUAGCUGACUACUUGCAGUCUUUGGCAGUACAAGCGGACGUAUUAAGUGUGAAGUACGAGCUGAAGUCAGAUAGGGGACAAGAACUAGCUUCGUUACUCAGGAAAAUUAAGGCCCUGAGUGUUAGGGCGAAGUCGUAUUUGUAACUCAGUUUUAUGUAAAGAAUUUUAUUUUCUAGUAAAGAUUUCUAAAAGGAAUUGAAUCAGAAUUGAUGCCUCCUUUGCAUUUAUGCAUUUUGCAUUACAUUACAUCAUAUGCAUUAAAGAUCAUAAUAAGAUUCUAAUUAAUUAAAAAUUAUUUCAGUAAUCUGGAAGCCAACCAAAACACACCAAAUACGCAUCCCUACGGUACGAGGAAAAAGACUAAGUCAAUGGACAAAAGACUGGAAAAGUUAGAACAAAUGCAAAAAGAUAUGCAAGAGCAAAUGCAGUCACAGAUAUAAGAGCAGCUGGUUAAGAUUCAGCAAGAUAUGAAAGAACAGAUGAUGGAGUCCUAAACAAAAAUGAUGAGUCAGUUAUCCCAGUUGCUAAUGGGAAGAGUGGAUAAGGGAAAAAUCCCUAUGGACAAUGUUGGAGAAAAUAAUGAGGACCCUCAAUAUCCUCCUGGCUUCACUCCUACACAUGUGUAGAUACCGCCUGAGAUUAAUUUGCCGAAACCAUCUGUUAUGAUCAGGCCUCAGCAGUUUCGGGCCGGAGCUUCAAUACCAAUGAAUUUUCAAGCUGGUUCAGGUUACAAUCCUGGUAACAACUCAAAUAAUCCAAUGGUCAUUGAUUUGGAUGAGGUCGUAAAAAAGGAAAGAGCAAAGGCGGAGUCACAAAGGCAAUUAGAGGAACGGUGUAAAUAGCUGGAGGAAAAGGUCAGAGCAAUGGAAGAUGUUGAUAGACACCCGGGAAUUGAUGCAAAAGAUCUGAGUUUGGUCCCAGACUUAGUACUACCAUACAAGUUCAAGAUGCCAGAAUUUGAGAAAUACAAUGGAACGAGCUGUCCUGAAGCUCAUAUCACUAUGUUUUGCAGAAGGAUGACAGGGUAUGUUAAUAAUGAUCAAUUGUUGAUUCAUUGCUUUCAAGAUAGUUUGGUAGAAGUGGCUGCUAAAUGGUACAAUUAAUUAAGUUUAAACAGAAUUAGUUCAUGGAGGAAUUUAGCACAGGCGUUCAUGAAACAAUACAGUCAUGUGACAGAUAUUACUCCUGAUAAAAUUACUCUACAAAAUAUGGAGAAGAAGCCAAAUGAGAGUUUCAAGCAGUAUACACAGAGGUGGAGGGAAAUGGCUAUUCAAGUUCAGCCACUGCUUCUAGAGAAAGAAACUACGAUGCUCUUCAUAAACACUUUAAAAACCUCAUUUAUAACUCAUAUGUUAGGAAGUGCCACAAGGAGCUUUGUGGAUGUGGUUAUGACAGGAGAAAUGAUUGAAAAUGCCAUAAGAAAUGGAAGGAUAGACGCAGGAGAAAGUCCUAAAAGGUCUAUGCCACGAAAGAAAGAAAAUGAGGUGAAUAAUGCGAACGUGGGAUAUUCAAAUUUUAUUAUCGUGAGUCAACCAAACGUGACAACUACUGGUCAGGGUUCAUCAAGGCAGGAGUCGGGAACUAGGCCGAAUAAUGAGAAGAUUCAAUUUACACCAAUUCUCAUGACAUACAAAGAGUUAUAUCAAAGUUUGUUCGAUGCACAUGUGGUGGCACCUUUUUACUUAAAGCCAAUACAACCUCCGUUCCCUAAAUGGUACAAUGCUAAUGCUCAAUGUGAAUAUCACGCAGGAAUUGUGGGACAUUCGAUAGAAAAUUGCACCACUUUUAAGAAGUUGGUUGAGAGAUUUAUUCAGAUAGGUAUUGUAAAAUUUGAUAAUGCGCCCAGUACUGAAAAUCCACUGCCUAAUCAUACUGAUAGCAGGUAAAUGCAAUAGAUGGAGGUAUUGGAAAAAGUACCAGGAUGGAUGUUUCAAAAGUAAAGACUCCUUUGAAACGGGUUUGGAAGGAGAUGGUAAGAAGAGGGUUAGUUACUUAGAGCACAAAAGAAAGUGAUAAUGGGAUAGAGAAUUAUUGUGAGUUCCAUCAUGAAGAAGGACACAGAAUUCAGGAAUGUAAAGAAUUCAGAGCUGUUAUUCAGGGUCUGAUGGAUAGCAAGGAAAUGGAGUUUUAUGAAGAGGGCAAAUAGGAGGAGUAUAUAUGUGCUUCAGAAUCUACAUCAAGUCCAAAAGUCAAUUAUCCUGUGGUCAUUAUCUCGCGUCCUAAGAAUAAAGUAGGGGUUCAAAUGGCGCCAAAGAUUAUAAUUCAAAAGCCAGCAGUUUUUUCUUACAAGGAUAGUAAACAGGUCCCCUGAAACUAUGACUGCAAUGUGACAAUCCCGGGAAAAGAGAGCUCAUUAAAGAAAGAUCGAAAUAUAGGCUCUCACACACACAGUGGAAGAUGAUAUGAUACCUGAAUAGAACCAGUGAAAGAAAGAGAUGUGCUGGUCGAGCAAAAGAAAGGAAAAUCAGUUUAACUUGAUGUACCUGUUAAUGAACCAGUGAAAGAAGAAGAAGCUAAAGAAUUCCUGAAAUUUCUGAAAUAUAGCGAGUACAGUGUGGUGGAACAAUUGUGUAAACAGCCAGCCCGCAUAUCUAUAUUGGCUUUACUACUAAGUUCAGAGGUGCAUCGAAGUGCAUUGAUGAAGGUGCUAAACGAGACAUAUGUAACUAACGAUAUUUCCGUCAAUAAGUUGGAUCAGUUGGUUAACAACAUAAGUGCAGACAACUUCAUCUUUUUCAAUGAUGAUGAGAUUCCGUCAGGAGGGAUGGGAACCACCAAAGCUUUGUAUAUAACUACCAGAUGUAAAGGGUACACGUUGCCGGGGGUAUUGGUAGAUAAUGGUUCAGUAUUGAAUGUGUUGCCUUUGUCCACACUAAACAAGUUACCUGUGGAUAGCUCUCAUAUGAAAGGAUGUCAGAACAUAGUUCGAGCAUUUGAUGGCACAGAGAGGAGAGUCAUGGGGAGAAUAGAAAUACCCUUGUUGAUUGGCCCAACCACAUAUGACGUAGAUUUUCUAGUAAUGGAUAUUAAGCCUUCUUACAACUGCUUGUUGGAAAGAUCUUGGAUACACUCGGCAGGGGCAAUACCUUCAUCGUUACAUCAAAAGCUGAAGCUGGUGUCAAAAGGGUGGUUGGUAACGAUAAAUACUAAAGAAGAUAUUAUCGCAACAGUAACUAGUGAUGCGCCAUAUGUAGAGACACAUGAGGAAGCCAUUGAGUGUUCUUUUCAGUCUUUGGAGUUUGUGAAUGCAACAUUCAUCACUGAGAGAGGUAGAAUUCUAAAGCCGAAAAUGUCCAAAACUACGAUGAUAGGUUUAUAGUUGAUGGUAGGCCGGGGAGCUGUAUCAGAAAAGGGACUUGGAAGAUGUCUUCAAGGAAGAAUUGUAGUUCCAAUGCUAAAAGAAAAAUAGGAUCGUUUUGGUUUGGGGUUCAAGCCAGAUGCAAGACAAAAGAAAAAGGAGUUAGAAAGAAGGCAAGAAAGAAGAAGAGCACGAGUGAGUGGUGGGGAAAUCAAGUGGGAGCCCAUGAUAAUUCCUCAUAUCUCCAAGUCUUUUGUAUCAGGAGGCAUUAUUUAUCCUGAAUAAAGGAUGCUGGAGAAAGAAAGCCUGGAAGAAGCAUUGGGAGAUGUGUACAUCAACGCCAUAUUUGAAGAGACAAUUGAAGAGGGGAUUUUGUCAAAUAUUUGCCCAUAUGAGCCUGGGAGUGUUCUAGACAAUUGGACUACAGAAGAUCUUCCUGUAGUUUUUAGAGCUUACUCAGAGUAAUGUUCGAAAUAAACUUGUUGUUUUAAGCCUAGAAACAAUAAAGAUUUCUUUGUGAAAUAGGCUCAUGUUCAAACAUUAUUAUUUCAAUGAAGUACAUUUUUUGCUAUCAUUUUGAGUAAAUAUUAUUCUUUUCACAAGCAAUCGUAUUAUUCUUUCUAUUUAAAUAAUUAUCUUAAUUCUUUCUUCAAUCAUUCUUUUAUUCAUAAACAUAUCAUACAAAGUAAAUAAUUACCAAAUUCAUUGAUUCUUUGUAUAUUUUUGUACCUAUAAUAGGUCCUUAGAUAUCAAUGUCAUGAGCGACGCUGUUACUGACUCAGAAUCACUAUUUGAGCAAGACAUGUGUUUGGAGGGAUCUCAGGACUUUGAAGAUGACAGAGAUUGUGAUUUAUCUCCGGACUUGUUAAGGAUGGUAGAACAAGAGGAAAAACAAAUGUUGCCUCAUAAAGAAACCGUAGACAUGGUGACUUUAGAAGAGGGAAAAGUUGAAAAAAUUGGAACAUGCAUAGCUGAAGAAACAAAACGAGACCUUAUUGGGUUGAUCCAGGAAUUCAAAGAUGUUUUUGCAUGGUCAUACCAGGAUAUUCUCGGUUUAAGUCCUGAUAUUGCGGUACAUUGUCUUCCCAUAAGAGAAGAUUGUAAGCCAGUACAACAGAAGCUUCGAUGAAUGAGUCCAUAUAUUGUUUUAAAGAUCAAGGAGGAAGUCAAAAAGUAGUUUGAUGCAGGGUUCCUUCAGGUGAUCAAGUACUCAGAAUGGGUAGCCAAUGUUGUGUCUGUUCCCAAGAAAGAUGGCAAGGUACGAAUGUGUGUGGAUUAUAGAGAUCUAAAUAAGGCAAGCCCAAAGGACAACUUUUCUUUGCCUCACAUUGAUACACUAGUGGAUAAUACAACUGGUUACUCAUUGUUUUCCUUCAUGGAUGGUUUCUUGGGGUAUAAUCAGAUUAAGAUGCAUCCUGAGGACAUGGGAAAGACUACUUUUAUAACCUUGUGAGGCACGUUCUGUUACAAGGUGAUGCCAUUUAGAUUGAAGAAUGCUGGAGUGACGUAUCAGAGAGCCAUGGUGACUUUAUUCCAUGAUAUGAUGCACAAGGAGAUUGAAGUGUAUGUUGACGAUAUGAUAGCCAAAUCUCGAACUGAAAAGGAGCAUAUUGAAGUAUUGAAAAAGUUGUUCAUGAGAUUGAGAAAGUUUCAGUUAAAGCUUAAUCCCACAAAAUGUACUUUUGGGGCUAGAUCUAGAAAGUUAUUGGGCUUUGUGGUCAGUGAGAAGGGAAUUGAGAUCGAUUCAGACAAAGUCCGGGCUAUACAGGAAUUGUCUCCACCGCGUACUCAAAAAGAAGUUCGAGGUUUCCUUGGAAGACUAAAUUACAUUGCACGGUUUAUUUCUCAAUUAAUAGAGAAGUGUGACCCUAUAUUCCGUCUUCUUAAAAAGCAUAACCCAGGGGAAUGGGAUGAUAAAUGUCAAAAGGCUUUUGAUAAAGUUAAAGAAUAUUUGUCAAGUCCUGCAGUGUUAUCACCCUCAAGUUCAGACAGGCCGUUGAUAUUGUAUUUAACCGUGUUUGGUAAUUCAAUGGGAUGUGUGCUUGGUCAACAUGACGAAUCAGGAAGAAAGGAAAGAGUGAUAUAUUACCUCAGUAAGAAAUUCACUGAGUGUAAGUUGAGAUAUUCGCCAAUUGAAAAAUUGUGUUGCGCUUUGGUUUGGACAGCACGAAGAUUAAGGCAAUAUAUGUUGUAUCAUACAACCUGGCUAAUCCCAAAGUUAGAUCCUUUAAAGUAUAUGAUGGAGUCAAAUGUCUUGAAUGGAAGGAUGGCUAGGUGGCAAAUUUUGCUUUCUGAAUUUGACAUAAUCUACAUGAGUCAAAAAGCUGUAAAGGAAAGUGCAAUAGCAGAUUUUCUGGCCUGCCGUGCUCUAGAAGAUUAUGAACCCUUGAAUUUUGACUUCCCCAAUGAAGAGAUAGUGUAUGUGGCAGCUGCUGAGGAGGACAAUACAAAAGGUCACUUUUGAAAAUUAAAUUUUGAUGGAGCCUCAAAUGCUGUGGGUAAUGGAGUUGGGGCAGUUCUGGUAUCCCCAGGUGGAUAUCAUUAUCCAUUCACAUGUAAAUUGGAUUUUGAUUGUACGAAUAAUAUGGAAGAAUAUGAAGCAUGUAUCAUGAGGCUCAGAGCAGCUAUAGAGUGCAAGAUCAAAUCAUUGGAAGUAUAUGGAGAUUCUGCAUUGGUAAUUUACCAACUUCGAAGUGAAUGGGAGACAAGAGACGCUAAACUAAUCAAUUACAGAAGGCUAGUAUUGGGGUUAGUUGAAGAGUUUGAUGAUAUUACUUUCAAUUACCUUCCUCGCGAUGAAAACCAGAUGGCAGAAGUUUUGGCUACUUUGGCUUCCAUGAUCAAAGUAAGCAGCCAGGAAGAUGUGAAGCCCAUUCGGAUGAGUAUCUAUGAGGCCCCGUCUUAUUGUUAUAAUAUAGAAGAAGAGGAAAGAGAUGAUCAUCCUUGGUAUCAGGAUAUAUUGCGAUAUGUGAGAAAUCGUGAAUAUCCAGAUCAAGCUACGGAGAAUGACAAAAGAACAUUGAGAAGGCUUGCCUGCGAUUAUGUUUUAGAUGGAGAGAUCUUGCACAAAAGAAGGAAAUAUUAGGUACUUUUGAGAUGUGUGGAUGCCGUGGAGUCCAAGAAAAUCUUGGAAGAAGUGCACGAAGGUGUUUGUGGAACACACGCCAAUGAGUUCACAAUGGCCAGACAAAUUAUGAGGUUUGGAUAUUAUUGGUCAACCAUGGAAGGAGACUGCAUCAAUUAUGCUAAGAAAUGUCACAAAUGUCAAAUUUAUGGUGAUAAGAUUCACGUACCUCCCUCGCAUUUGCAUGUUAUGACUUCCUCAUGGCCAUUUUCCAUGUAAGGCAUGGAUGUCAUAGGGCCAAUUUCACCAAAGGCUUCAAAUGGGCAUCGUUUCAUUUUUGUGGUCAUUGAUUAUUUUACCAAGUGGGUGGAAGCUGCUUCGUACGCCAAUGUAACUAAAUCGACAGUCAGUAGAUUCUUAAAGAAGGAAAUUAUAUGCCGAUAUGGAAUGCCUGAGAAAAUCAUAUCUGAUAAUGCGCUAAAUUUGAACAAUAGUACAAUAGCAGAGGUCUGCAGUCAGUUUAAGAUCAGACAUCAUAACUCAUCACCGUAUCGCCCGAAGAUGAAUGGGGAAGUGGAAGCAGUCAACAAAAAUAUCAAGAAAAUUGUGGGGAAAAUGACUGAAACUUACAGAGAUUGGCAUGAGAAGUUGUCAUUUGCGCUCUAUGCUUAUCGAACAUCUGUCAGAACUUUUACUAGGGCAACACAUUUCUCAUUGGUCUAUGGAAUGGAAGUAGUCCUACCCAUUGAAGUGGAAAUACCUUCUCUUCGAGUUUUGUCAGAAUUGAAAUUAGAUGAAACAGAAUGGAUACAGUCUCGAUAUGAUCAAUUGAAUUAGAUUGAGGAAAAGAGGCUAAAGGCUAUUCAGCAUAGACAGAUGUAUCAAAAAAGAAUGAUGCGGGCUUAUGACAAAAAGGUUCGCCCAAGAGAGUUUCAUGAGGGAGAUUUGGUUUUGAAGAAAAUUCUUUCCAUACAAAAGGAUUUUAGGGGAAAAUGGAUGUCGAAUUGGGAGGGGCCCUAUGUGGUGAAGAAAGCUUUCUCCGAUGGUGCAUUAAUACUGGCCGAAAUGGAUGGAAGAAAUUUGCCUAAUCCAGUGAACUCAGAUUCAGUUAAAAAGUACUACACUUAACAAGAGAGGGAAGCCAAAGUGAAAAUCCACAAAGGGCGCUUUGAGACUUUCAAAAAAAAGGGGGGGUUAAAGUGAAAACCCGCAAAGGGCCAAAGUGAAAACCCGCAAAGGGCGCUUUGAGACUCAAUAAUAAUAAAAGAAAGAAAAAGAGAAAAAUGAGAGGCCAAGGUGAAAACCCGCAAAGGGCGCCUUGUGAUCAAAGGGGAUUUGAGUUGAAAACCCAAAAAGGGCGGCUCAAAUAUGGAUCCAAAGAGAGAAAGCGGUGGUCUUGCUAUGCUUGAAUUAACCAUGAAGGGGGUAUGUUGCAUCUUGAGGCGUUGACAAAGUGCUUCUAAUAUCUUAAACACAUGUCAAGUUUGAAUUGGUCUUCAAGAGGUUCAUACAAUGAAGCUCAAGUUGCGAUAACAAGGGUACCUAGUCUUCAUUUUCAGUAAAUUGGUUAUCUUUGAAUUAUCCUUUCUUUUUCAAGAUACACAUUCCCAAAUUAAUGGCCAUUGUUGUUCUUUUGAUAAUUUACUUUGAAUUCAAGAUUAAUUCCAUUCCUGUUCAUUAUUACAAUUUGAUUGCAAGCAUGUUGCAUUGACAUAAUGAUGAAUGAACUAGUGAUGUUUUCACAAUAGAAGUUUUGCAUAUUACUCUAGGAGUUUCUAGAUAAUGAAAGAAUCUGAAGUGGAAUAGUUGUUUAGAAUACGCUCAAGUUCAAGGAUAUAUUUGAAUAAAUCGCCUAUUUAGAAUUAUUGUCCAAAUGAUGAUAUGGCGCUGGUGAUACAACUUUGAAGAAAUGAUCAGUACAAAAAGGGAAUUAUUCUCAAAAAAGGGUAAAGGAUAUUUGUAUACAUACAAAUACCAAAAUAUACAUUUGGCUAUAGCACAUGAGGAGUGAGGUAGCAAAUUGACCAAGAGGAAAAUUCAACUAUGAGUUGCAAUAUUUUGGCUCAAAAAGAUUAGUAGAAAGGACGUUGGAAUUAUAGUGGGGCAAGCUCGCCAAACGAGAUAGGUUUAUUUCUUUGGGAUACUCUGUCAAGGUGUUGGUUGAGCAAACGUGUCAGUAACAUCAUAUGAGUGACGAUACCCUAAAUUGUUAAAAUAGAAUCAUCCUCAUUUCUGCAUAUAUCAUUCAUAACACAUUUAGUUAGGAGCAUUGGGUUCAUUUUAAUCAUAGCAUCCUAAUUAUUUGGGCAUAAGCAUGAGCAUAUAAAAUGGAGUCUAUAGGAUAGGUUCCCCUGAAGACAAUGCAGUGACAUUAGGUAAAAAUUGAAGAUUUUAUCUCCCUGAAGUUGCAACGGAGCAGAUCUUCGUAAAUGAUGAAUCUUAUCUCCAUGUAUCGGCAAUGGAGCAGAUUUUACCACCAGCCUCAUCUUUUUGAGGUAGCAUGAGAGCAGGUUGAAGAAUGAGUCUUAUCUUCCUGAGGUAACAAGGAAGCAGACUGGGAAUUAAAGAUCUUAUCUCCCUGAAGUUGCAGCGGAGUAGAUCUUCACAGACAGUGAAUCUUAUCUCCAUGUAUCAGCAAUGAAGCAGAUUUUACCACUAAGCCUUAUCUCUCUGAGGUAGCAAGAGAGCAGGUUGAAGAAUGAGUCUUAUCUUCUUGAGGUAGCAAGGAAGCAAACUGAGAAUUGAAGAUUUUAUCUCUCUGAGAUUGAAGCGGAGCAGAUCUUCGCAGAUGGUGAAUCUUAUCUCUAUGUAUCGGUGAUGGAGCAGAUUUUAGCCACUAACCUUAUCUCUCUGAGGUAGUAAGAGAGCAGGUUGAAGAAUGAGUUUUAUUUUCCUGAGGUAGCAAAGAAGCAGACUAAGAAUUGAAGAUCUUAUAUCCCUGAGAUGGCAGUGGAGCAGAUCUUCGCAGAUGGUGAAUUUUAUCUCUAUGUAUCUGUAAUGGAGCAAAUUUUACCACCAGUCUCAUUUCUCUGAGGUAGCAAGAGAGUAGGUUGAAAAAUGAGUCUUAUCUUCCUGAGGUAGUAAGGAAGCAGACUGAGGAUUGAGGAUAUUAGCUCCCUGAAGUUGCAGUGGAGCAAAUUGAAAAUAAUGAAUCUUAUCUCCAUGUAUUGGCAAUGGAGCAGAUUUAACCUAUCAACCUUAUCUUCCUAAAGGUGUUUGGAAAAGAGGAGCGCCAAAAAGCCAAAAUUCAGCAAGACCGGGCAAAAUCGGCUCUUUUGAAGUCUUUGCACUAUUCCCGUUACACGUCAAUGAGCAAAGAGGGGCAGCUGUAGUUAACCUAUUUUGCCCGGGCCUAUUUUAUUUACAGAAAAUAAAUAAAUUAAAAUAAAAACCAAUUAUAGGUCCAAAGUUUCCUUACAAUUUAGCCCAAAUAUUAAAACACAAAUCUAAUCCAAAUCCAUUUGCAAAAUUUUGGACCCCAAAGUUGAGACCGAAAAUAACUCGAAAAAGAUCCAAUCUAAAACUAAUUGAUCAAUGCCGCAGCAGUAGCCCUUCUUCUUGGCUAUUUGAGGUAAACCGAUAGAGCCCAGGCCAGAAGUUUCUGGAAUAUAUGAGAGUAGCAGCAGAAUGGGGUUCCCACGAGCGGUUCCCACGCACGGCUUCCAUGGCCUUCUCCCCGUACAACUCUGCGUCCGU
RNAcentral lists this long non-coding RNA (19716 nucleotides) under Gossypium barbadense (sea-island cotton). RNAcentral's name for it is "long non-coding RNA (GBAR_LNC009271)". Lineage: Eukaryota; Viridiplantae; Streptophyta; Magnoliopsida; Malvales; Malvaceae. The record is from RNAcentral.